CUUGGUCAUUUAGAGGAAGUAAAAGUCGUAACAAGGUUUCCGUAGGUGAACCUGCGGAAGGAUCAUUAUUGAAUGAACUUGGUGUGGUUGUUGCUGGCCCUUUCGGGGGCAUGUGCACGCCGACCAUCCUCAUCUCUCCACCUGUGCACCUCUUGUAGACUUGAAUUGACUUUCCGAGGUAACUCGGUCGGGAGGAUUGCCGGCACCAGCUGGCUUUCUUUGCAUUUUCAGGUCUAUGUUUUUCAUAUACCCCAUUGUAUGUAACAGAAUGUAACAUUGGGCCCUUGUGCCUAUAAACCUUAUACAACUUUCAGCAACGGAUCUCUUGGCUCUCGCAUCGAUGAAGAACGCAGCGAAAUGCGAUAAGUAAUGUGAAUUGCAGAAUUCAGUGAAUCAUCGAAUCUUUGAACGCACCUUGCGCUCCUUGGUAUUCCGAGGAGCAUGCCUGUUUGAGUGUCAUUAAAUUCUCAACCUUUAUCAACUUUUGCUGAUAAUGGCUUGGAUAUGGGGGUUUAUUUUGCUGGCUUCUUUAUAGAUGGUCAGCUCCCCUUAAAUACAUUAGCCGGUGCCCCGCGUGGACUGUCUAUUGGUGUGAUAAUUAUCUACGCCGUGGACAUCUGCAAUCAUAUGGGUUUGCACUGCUUCCAACCGUCUGUUCGAUCAGACUAUACAUGACAAUUUGACCUCAAAUCAGGUAGGACUACCCGCUGAACUUAAGCAUAUCAAUAAGCGGAGGAAAAGAAACUAACAAGGAUUCCCCUAGUAACUGCGAGUGAAGCGGGAAAAGCUCAAAUUUAAAAUCUGGCGGUCUCCGGCCGUCCGAGUUGUAAUCUAGAGAAGUGUUAUCCGCGCUGGACCGUGUACAAGUCUCCUGGAAUGGAGCGUCAUAGAGGGUGAGAAUCCCGUCUUUGACACGGACUGCCAGGGCUUUGUGAUGCGCUCUCAAAGAGUCGAGUUGUUUGGGAAUGCAGCUCAAAAUGGGUGGUAAAUUCCAUCUAAAGCUAAAUAUUGGCGAGAGACCGAUAGCGAACAAGUACCGUGAGGGAAAGAUGAAAAGAACUUUGGAAAGAGAGUUAAACA
Molecule: ribosomal RNA, 1080 nt
Filed under: uncultured Basidiomycota
Lineage: Eukaryota; Fungi; Basidiomycota
Description: eukaryotic LSU rRNA
Rfam family: Eukaryotic large subunit ribosomal RNA (bases 681-1080)
Source: RNAcentral